Molecule: ribosomal RNA, 1310 nt
Filed under: Klebsiella pneumoniae
Lineage: Bacteria; Pseudomonadati; Pseudomonadota; Gammaproteobacteria; Enterobacterales; Enterobacteriaceae
Description: partial 23S ribosomal RNA
Rfam family: Bacterial large subunit ribosomal RNA
Source: RNAcentral
AAAUCGUACCCCAAACCGACACAGGUGGUCAGGUAGAGAAUACCAAGGCGCUUGAGAGAACUCGGGUGAAGGAACUAGGCAAAAUGGUGCCGUAACUUCGGGAGAAGGCACGCUGGUGUGUAGGUGAAGUCCCUGCGGAUGGAGCUGAGACCAGUCGAAGAUACCAGCUGGCUGCAACUGUUUAUUAAAAACACAGCACUGUGCAAACACGAAAGUGGACGUAUACGGUGUGACGCCUGCCCGGUGCCGGAAGGUUAAUUGAUGGGGUUAUCCGUAAGGAGAAGCUCUUGAUCGAAGCCCCGGUAAACGGCGGCCGUAACUAUAACGGUCCUAAGGUAGCGAAAUUCCUUGUCGGGUAAGUUCCGACCUGCACGAAUGGCGUAAUGAUGGCCAGGCUGUCUCCACCCGAGACUCAGUGAAAUUGAACUCGCUGUGAAGAUGCAGUGUACCCGCGGCAAGACGGAAAGACCCCGUGAACCUUUACUAUAGCUUGACACUGAACAUUGAGCCUUGAUGUGUAGGAUAGGUGGGAGGCUUUGAAGCGUGGACGCCAGUCUGCGUGGAGCCAACCUUGAAAUACCACCCUUUAAUGUUUGAUGUUCUAACGUUGGCCCCUUACCGGGGUUGCGGACAGUGUCUGGUGGGUAGUUUGACUGGGGCGGUCUCCUCCCAAAGCGUAACGGAGGAGCACGAAGGUUAGCUAAUCCUGGUCGGACAUCAGGAGGUUAGUGCAAUGGCAUAAGCUAGCUUGACUGCGAGCGUGACGGCGCGAGCAGGUGCGAAAGCAGGUCAUAGUGAUCCGGUGGUUCUGAAUGGAAGGGCCAUCGCUCAACGGAUAAAAGGUACUCCGGGGAUAACAGGCUGAUACCGCCCAAGAGUUCAUAUCGACGGCGGUGUUUGGCACCUCGAUGUCGGCUCAUCACAUCCUGGGGCUGAAGUAGGUCCCAAGGGUAUGGCUGUUCGCCAUUUAAAGUGGUACGCGAGCUGGGUUUAGAACGUCGUGAGACAGUUCGGUCCCUAUCUGCCGUGGGCGCUGGAGAAUUGAGGGGGGCUGCUCCUAGUACGAGAGGACCGGAGUGGACGCAUCACUGGUGUUCGGGUUGUCAUGCCAAUGGCACUGCCCGGUAGCUAAAUGCGGAAGAGAUAAGUGCUGAAAGCAUCUAAGCACGAAACUUGCCCCGAGAUGAGUUCUCCCUAAGACUUUAAGUCUCCUGAAGGAACGUUGAAGACGACGACGUUGAUAGGCCGGGUGUGUAAGCGCAGCGAUGCGUUGAGCUAACCGGUACUAAUGAACCGUGAGGCUUAACCUU